RNAcentral lists this ribosomal RNA (402 nucleotides) under Escherichia coli. RNAcentral describes it as "bacterial SSU rRNA". It matches the Rfam family "Bacterial small subunit ribosomal RNA", at positions 1125 to 1526 of the family's 1533-position model. The record is from RNAcentral. Lineage: Bacteria; Pseudomonadati; Pseudomonadota; Gammaproteobacteria; Enterobacterales; Enterobacteriaceae.
GUCCGGCCGGGAACUCAAAGGAGACUGCCAGUGAUAAACUGGAGGAAGGUGGGGAUGACGUCAAGUCAUCAUGGCCCUUACGACCAGGGCUACACACGUGCUACAAUGGCGCAUACAAAGAGAAGCGACCUCGCGAGAGCAAGCGGACCUCAUAAAGUGCGUCGUAGUCCGGAUUGGAGUCUGCAACUCGACUCCAUGAAGUCGGAAUCGCUAGUAAUCGUGGAUCAGAAUGCCACGGUGAAUACGUUCCCGGGCCUUGUACACACCGCCCGUCACACCAUGGGAGUGGGUUGCAAAAGAAGUAGGUAGCUUAACCUUCGGGAGGGCGCUUACCACUUUGUGAUUCAUGACUGGGGUGAAGUCGUAACAAGGUAACCGUAGGGGAACCUGCGGUUGGAUCAC